RNAcentral lists this unclassified non-coding RNA (1015 nucleotides) under Hevea brasiliensis (rubber tree). The record is from RNAcentral. Lineage: Eukaryota; Viridiplantae; Streptophyta; Magnoliopsida; Malpighiales; Euphorbiaceae.
CAUUCCCAUCAUUGGAAUGGGAGGACUUGGCAAAACAACUCUUGCUCAACUCGUCUACAAUGAUAAGAGGGUAGAGGAGUGUUUCAGCCUGUCUAGGAUGUGGGUGUCUGUCUCAGUUGACUUCGACUUGAUAAGGAUCCUUAGAGGGAUAAUGGAGUCCUAUUCCAAGAUGAGUCUCCCUUCUGAAUUAUCCGCAGACCUGGUAACGUCUCGUUUCAGAGAAUUUUUGCCUGGUAAACGUUUUUUACUUGUUCUAGAUGAUGUCUGGAAUGACAAAUACGAGCUUUGGGAGCCACUUCUGCAACUCCUUAAAUUAGGGAAGAACGGAAGUAAAGUUUUAGUAACCAGUCGCAGUCAAAGGGUUGCGGAUGUUGUUGGCACUAGACCUGCCCACCUUUUAGGGUAUUUGCCUGAAGAUAAAUGCUGGGAGCUGUUUGAAAGAAUUGCAUUCAAGAAGGUUAAUCUUUCAGAUCGUCUGCUAAUAAAAGAGUUGGAGGACAAUGGCAAGGAAAUUGUUGCCAAGUGCAAAGGUUUGCCUUUGGCGGUAAAGGCAAUGGCGGGUAUGUUGCGUGGCAACACUGAUCCAGCCAAGUGGAGAAGAAUUUCGAAAAGCAAUAUGUGGGAGUUAGAAGAUCAAAAUAUUCUACCAGCCCUUAAAUUGAGUUAUAAUCACCUGCCAUCUCAUCUGAAGCAAUGUUUUGCUUUCUGUUCUAUAUUUCCCAAGGCCUAUGCUUUCGAUAAGAAACAGUUGGUCCAACUCUGGAUGGCUCAAUCCUUCAUUCUUCCCACAGGAGAAAAUAACGCAGAGGAGACUGGAGCUGAAUAUUUUGAUUUGUUGCUCACGAGGUCUUUCUUCCAACUGCUGAACAUCGACAAGAAGGUGCUAUACAGAAUGCAUGAUCUUAUCCAUGAAUUAGCACUAUCAAUUUCAGGUUCUCAAUGUUGCCUAGUCAAGGAUAACGAAUCAGAUAUCCACCCUGGAAAUUCUCAAAAUUGGCGUCAUGUUUCCCUGCUU